UACGAAGGGGGCUAGCGUUGUUCGGAAUUACUGGGCGUAAAGCGCGCGCAGGCGGUCCUUCAAGUCAGAGGUGAAAGCCCAGAGCUCAACUCUGGAAUGGCCUUUGAGACUAGAGGACUUGGGUACGGGAGAGGUGAGUGGAAUUCCGAGUGUAGAGGUGAAAUUCGUAGAUAUUCGGAAGAACACCAGUGGCGAAGGCGGCUCACUGGCCCGUUACCGACGCUCAGGCGCGACAGCGUGGGGAGCAAACGGG
RNAcentral lists this ribosomal RNA (253 nucleotides) under uncultured bacterium. RNAcentral describes it as "partial 16S ribosomal RNA". It matches the Rfam family "Bacterial small subunit ribosomal RNA", at positions 524 to 776 of the family's 1533-position model. The record is from RNAcentral.